UUGAAGAGUUUGAUCAUGGCUCAGAUUGAACGCUGGCGGCAGGCCUAACACAUGCAAGUCGAGCGGUAGCACAGAGAGCUUGCUCUCGGGUGACGAGCGGCGGACGGGUGAGUAAUGUCUGGGAAACUGCCUGAUGGAGGGGGAUAACUACUGGAAACGGUAGCUAAUACCGCAUAACGUCGCAAGACCAAAGUGGGGGACCUUCGGGCCUCAUGCCAUCAGAUGUGCCCAGAUGGGAUUAGCUAGUAGGUGGGGUAAUGGCUCACCUAGGCGACGAUCCCUAGCUGGUCUGAGAGGAUGACCAGCCACACUGGAACUGAGACACGGUCCAGACUCCUACGGGAGGCAGCAGUGGGGAAUAUUGCACAAUGGGCGCAAGCCUGAUGCAGCCAUGCCGCGUGUGUGAAGAAGGCCUUCGGGUUGUAAAGCACUUUCAGCGGGGAGGAAGGCGUUAAGGUUAAUAACCUUGGCGAUUGACGUUACCCGCAGAAGAAGCACCGGCUAACUCCGUGCCAGCAGCCGCGGUAAUACGGAGGGUGCAAGCGUUAAUCGGAAUUACUGGGCGUAAAGCGCACGCAGGCGGUCUGUCAAGUCGGAUGUGAAAUCCCCGGGCUCAACCUGGGAACUGCAUUCGAAACUGGCAGGCUAGAGUCUUGUAGAGGGGGGUAGAAUUCCAGGUGUAGCGGUGAAAUGCGUAGAGAUCUGGAGGAAUACCGGUGGCGAAGGCGGCCCCCUGGACAAAGACUGACGCUCAGGUGCGAAAGCGUGGGGAGCAAACAGGAUUAGAUACCCUGGUAGUCCACGCCGUAAACGAUGUCGAUUUGGAGGUUGUGCCCUUGAGGCGUGGCUUCCGGAGCUAACGCGUUAAAUCGACCGCCUGGGGAGUACGGCCGCAAGGUUAAAACUCAAAUGAAUUGACGGGGGCCCGCACAAGCGGUGGAGCAUGUGGUUUAAUUCGAUGCAACGCGAAGAACCUUACCUGGUCUUGACAUCCACAGAACUUUCCAGAGAUGGAUUGGUGCCUUCGGGAACUGUGAGACAGGUGCUGCAUGGCUGUCGUCAGCUCGUGUUGUGAAAUGUUGGGUUAAGUCCCGCAACGAGCGCAACCCUUAUCCUUUGUUGCCAGCGGUCCGGCCGGGAACUCAAAGGAGACUGCCAGUGAUAAACUGGAGGAAGGUGGGGAUGACGUCAAGUCAUCAUGGCCCUUACGACCAGGGCUACACACGUGCUACAAUGGCAUAUACAAAGAGAAGCGACCUCGCGAGAGCAAGCGGACCUCAUAAAGUAUGUCGUAGUCCGGAUUGGAGUCUGCAACUCGACUCCAUGAAGUCGGAAUCGCUAGUAAUCGUAGAUCAGAAUGCUACGGUGAAUACGUUCCCGGGCCUUGUACACACCGCCCGUCACACCAUGGGAGUGGGUUGCAAAAGAAGUAGGUAGCUUAACCUUCGGGAGGGCGCUUACCACUUUGUGAUUCAUGACUGGGGUGAAGUCGUAACAAGGUAACCGUAGGGGAACCUGCGGUUGGAUCACCUCCUU
RNAcentral lists this ribosomal RNA (1536 nucleotides) under Klebsiella pneumoniae. Its description in RNAcentral is "bacterial SSU rRNA". It matches the Rfam family "Bacterial small subunit ribosomal RNA". The record is from RNAcentral. Lineage: Bacteria; Pseudomonadati; Pseudomonadota; Gammaproteobacteria; Enterobacterales; Enterobacteriaceae.